GGUGUUUCCUCCCUCACUAGUUUGCUAAGCGCAGGAACAAACUAGUGGCGCUUACCCAAUCUGGAGGUGCGUUUCAUAACUCACCAGCGUGGACCGGAGGCGGAUAUGGUUUCGCCUCUAGUGUGCUUAGACGGCGGCCCUGCAACCCGGCCCCAAGUAAGUGGAAGAAAAUGGAUUGACGGACAACAACCUCCCGUGGACUCAAAAGGUGAUUUUUAUUACAGCAAAUCCAUUCGAAUCUCAACAUCUUUCAAAGAGCAGGUUAAACAUACAAAAGCUCACUUAACAUGUUUUUUUUUGUUUUUUUUUUAUUAAAUAUGUAAAAAGCAGGUCAAGUUAUUCACAAAUAAAAUGCAAACAUGCAACACGAUUUUUUGUCGGGGAAUGCAUAAUGAGUGGGACAUAAAAAAAGAAAACAAAACAUUUACCAUUCAUUAAUUAUUGACAGUACAUGUUUACAUUCUUUUUCAUUUACACAAUAAUAUAUGACUAAAGCAUCGUGGUGCACUGCCCAGUUCAAUAUUAGUAAAUGCAAUAUUAAGAAAGGGUAUACAAUGUACUUACUGGAAUAUAGUGUAACAAAUUGCUCAGUGAACUGACAUCUCCCUAAGACCUGUGAUUAAAAAAAAAUAAAAAAAUAAAAAAAAUAUCCCAACAGUUCCAGCGGAGGUUUACAACUUAAAACUGCUGCUUCAUCAUAAGACUACUCCACAAUGUUUCUUCCUUCCCUAUGUUUACGGUUUAAAUCUCUAUCACUAAAGCCACCUUGUGUGGUGGGAACAAACGCUAAGCCGAGCACACUGAUUAUCUGAAAUCUUGUAAUUUGUAAUGACAGCUGUGACACAGUCAUACAGUUGGGAUUUAACUACAUUUUAUUAUCCUCCUUCACGAGGAUGCAAUUCAGAUCCUUGCACUAUUCCUAAGUCUUAAUAACAACAACAAUAAUAAAUACGGUGAGGGUCUAUGGACAGAUUGUCCAAUACGAAGUCAAAUGUCAGUGCAACAUAUGGAAGGAGGUUAAAUAAGAGCUACUACGAGCCCUUCCAGGGCUUUGCUUAUUGCAUUCUUAUGAUUAAUAUUGUUGAUAUGAAAAAAAAAAAAAAGAAAUAAAAAUAGCAGGGAGUCUAACACUUGCACUGACAGGUAGUGGUUACCUGUCUAAACUUCAGCAUUUCAUCACAUCUACUGCAGGAUUUGAAUUGACUUUGCGCCCACACAGUCCUCUGAUGGUCUGAGCUUGUCCGCUGGUGGAGGUCAUUGCCACAAACCCGCCACAGCAGUUCACCAAAAGUCACAAGAAACAUUGAACAGUGAGCAGAGGGGUACAAAAAAACCCCAAACAAAAACCUGUGAUGGUGCUUCUUUCAGGAGGCUUCUUCAUGUGCUCAGUUUCGGAGAAGAUGAAAAAUAAAAAUGAGGACAAAUGAAAAUCCUUUAACAGUUCUCACAUAGUCAAAAAAAUUAAAUUAAAAAAAUAAAAUAAAGAGAGAGUGGGGUGUAACUGCGGUGAAGGAUGAUGGCAGUCAGUAUUCAUCCUGCUCCUCCUGCUGAUCGUCUGGCACCUCCUCGUGGGCUUGCUGGUCCACUUCUUGUCCGUCGCCCUCAGCUAGCUCCCCUCGUUCCUAAAAAAGAAAAGAGAGAGUUGAGGCAAGCGCAUGUGACUGCACACAAACACUGAAUUAAAUCCACAUGAUUUCCUCAACAAAGAAUGAGCACGAUCCUGCUUGGAUCAAUCUAAAGGCCUGGACUGACCUGCUCAUCGGAGGCGUACAGGAUCUCCAUUAGCCGAUCGACAAACGGGGCGUUUUCCUCCCCCUGUUCCUGACAGAGCAGCUCCACCUCUCGCAGCUUGCUGAAGUAGUAGUCUCGCUCCUUCUCCACUCCUUCCAGUGCCAACUUUAGUGUGUUCACCUGCAAAAAUAAAUGUUCAAGCAUUUCAAAACACACCAACUCUGAACAGACUCACAACGUUAAAAGAUAAGCAGAGAAGAAACACAAAGCUGAUUAAAACUGAUUAAAACGACUCAAGAUAAACUGUUUAACUGAUACAAGUUGUCUUCAGUUACAUGUGAUUUGAGCACUAGAGCAGCUCUGAAUGAUUGAAUGCAAUCAUUAUAUCAGUAAAGGAUCUACCGAUCAGUUAAGUCUUUGUCUUCUAUUCACCAGUUUCUGCUUAACAAAUGUACAUAAAAAAUAAAAAUAAAAAAAAUAAAAAAUCAAAUGCUGCCUGGCAGCAUUUUCUGGCUUGUGGUCACUGCACAAGAGCUCCAAGCCCGCUUCUUCUUAGUUUAAUCCUUGGCUUGAAUCUGACAUGUACUGUACCAAAUUUAACGCAGCCAGCAACAUUUUGGAUCUCAGAGUGGAACAACUACACAAUAUCCACACAGCAUUUAGCAGCUUUGUAUGCACAGGGUUUUGUUUUUUGUUUUUUUUUAAACCAACCACAUACAGUGCCUUUAAAAUGCCUCAGUGCUAUUUUUAAUAUUUGGAAACAAGUUGAAUGUCUGCUAAGAUUUUAAAUCUCUAGUACUUUGAAUCUCCAAAUAUGACGCGUCAGGUGUAACAUUAAUCACAGCCUAUUUCUAUACCAGCUUUCUAAGGAACCAUUAGUCUAUCCACAGAGUGAGAAGUGGAUUUAGGUCUGACUCCUAAUUUGACACAGACUGUAUAUAAAAGAUAGAUGUAACUCCAGGUUUGAAAAGUGAAAUGUACAAGUGCCUUAAAUCUGCACCCUUUCUUACAGCCAGCAGGGGGCGACUUUGGCCAUGUUCCGCAAAGCAGGUUUAACAAACUCUGUUUGAGAUUUGAGUGCCACAGAAGUUGAUCACAGCUAUUAGUUAUUAUUGAAUCAUUUCUGAGUAUGUUCUCUCUCAGUCAAGCGUAUGUGUAGCAGAAGAAAAGCCAUCAUCAAUGGAGCUCCAAUACCAGGAUUCACCAUGGCAACGAGUAAAUGAAGAGACGAUCCUCCAUUUUAAUCCAGUGGACGGAGGAACACGAAUCAGUGUCAGUGAGGACCAUGCCAGGAAGCUAGAAAACAGCAAUUUUAUUCUGUCAUUCGCCCACACUGAUUACCAACCUGAUUCAGUGAGGGCCAACCAACCAAUUUUACAUUGGACCACAACCACGACCAAACAGUUAAAGCCUGGAGGGACAACAUGCAGACAACUGAAGAUAAAACUAUAUCUUAUCAAAGAGAAAAGACAGUUUACUUACCGACCUGUAAUAUUAGACCCAGUAAUACAAAUCUGGGCAAUUUGGAGUGAAAAAUGUGUCAAAACUCCUGCACUUAACGACUGUACUUCAACAUGAAAUGACUCGUCUUUCAAAUUUAGUUCCAUUCAAAAAUAUAUACAUAGUAAAUUCAGACUCAGUUUCACAUCAACUCCAACACGAUGCCAACUGUGACGGGCAGUUUUCCAUUAGUGCAACUGAUUAUGACACAUCAAAUAUAAUUCACAUUGAUUAGUGGUUGUGUGUCUCUGCAGCUUCAUGCAGGCUGAUUUACACAGUGAUCACCACAGUAACAUAUGGGAGAUUCAAUGCAGGGGAGCUGGCUGACAGCCUGACAGAGUCUUCAACCCUAUUUAUGCUCGCCGCAUUGGUCACUUCUCACACCGAUGUGCUGAUAUUGCACAGCUACGUCCAUUUCUACUCGUCACUGUGGCGCUUUUGUCUCUUUGCGAUCUUCUUCAGCUGCUGUAGAAAUCUUUCUCCAUGAGUUCUGUACCAUAUGGGAAUCCCUGCGCUCCUGCAUACAUGUGUCAUAUAUAUGCCCAUAUAGACAGCCUUGCCUCAAGCCUGUCAAUUUUUUUAAAUAGCUGAGGCUGCAAUAGCUCCAAAGCUACGUAAACUGAAAAGGUGCACGGCUGGCCGAAAAAAAUGCCAAAACAUGCCAUGCCUUACUGCAAGUGACAUCACUUCUGUCAUUUGGUGAGAGCAGUGAGCAUAAACUGGCCCUUAGAUAAACAUAGAAUAAAUUCUACAGUCUAUCAUUCUAUGAUGUUAAUAAAUUAGGAUCCAGUUAUUUGAGUCACAAUAACAUUGAGUAACAAUUUUAAAAAUGCUAGGUGACUUCCUACUUAGUUAUUGCAUUCAAAAGAUUUUCAGAAAACUUGACCUCUGACCUUGAGGUCACUGAGAUUCAAACUCAUCCAAGAUUUUAAAUAGAUACACCUGUGUUAUCACUUUCAAAAUCCUACAUUUCCUCAUUUUCAAGUUAUCACAUUCACAAAUGGAUGUCCAUGCCGCCACCCGUUACGGUAUUGUUAUCGCCCUACCAGCUGUUUACAGCUGAAAGGUUUAUAAAAAAUUAACAUUUUAAAAAAAAGCUCACAAUUGAGCUGUACACAGACAUACCUGCUCAGUAAGAUGUGUGACUUGUGCUUCCAGUUCUUUCUCUCCUUUGGCAGGAGUUGACACGGAUGUAGGGAUCUUUUUGGCGGACGAGGGUCUGGAUGUUGGCGUUGAAGACUUAGGAGUAGUAGAGCUCGACCUGGAUGCUCCUGCAGCGAAGAAAUAUUUAUGAAUAAAGGGUUGCUUGUCACUAUAUCUGAGUGUAAACUUGACAAAUCAGACCCAAUAAUCACAGGAGCUGAUAUAUGAGCAGGAAAAGUAACAGUCUAGCCAUUUGAUACCAUAUACAUCCAGUGCAAAGGUGUCAAAAAAAAUGUGCAGAUAACAGUAAACAUACAUGCAUAAUUUAUAACCUUCGUUUUGUUUUAUUCAUCAGUUGAAUCUUACCUGCGGUAGGAGAACUGGCUGCAUGGUGAGACUUCUUUGGCAGGUUGAAGAUUUGCUCACCGGGAUCAGGCGGGGGGAUGGCAUCCUGACCCUGCCUGGCUGCAACUGGGUCGUAAUCUUUGCCGUCGUAAUUGGCGUCAAAGAACUUCUUAAACCACUGGAUGAAAUCGAGAUUGUCCUGAAAUCUGCCUUUGACCAGUUUCUCCACAGGAAUAAUCUGAACAAAAAAAAGACUGUUAAAACCCCCGAACAGUAAAGCGAGGUGAAAAAAAAAAAAA
This is a long non-coding RNA of Haplochromis burtoni (Burton's mouthbrooder), 5018 nucleotides long. RefSeq lists it as uncharacterized. The record is from RefSeq and is a predicted model, not a curated record. The transcript has 2 exons. NCBI's taxonomy places the organism in Eukaryota, Metazoa, Chordata, Actinopteri, Cichliformes, Cichlidae.